AUGUCGCCGAUUCUGUUUAACAUUGUCGUUGACAUGUUGACAAUCCUAAUAGGAAGGGCCAAGGAUGAUGGUCAGGUAGGUAGCCUAGCCCCGCAUUUAGUUGAAGGGGGAGUAUCUAUCCUACAGUACGCUGAUGAUACUAUCAUCUUCAUGGAGCACGAUUUGGCUAAAGCUAGAAACAUGAAGCUGGUUUUAUGCUUGUUCGAACAAUUGUCGGGGUUGAAGAUCAACUUCCACAAAAGUGAAUUGUUCUGCUUUGGAAGAGCCAAAGAAGAACAACAAGCUUACAAAAAAAUAUUCGGGUGCGAAUUGGGAUCGCUACCCUUCACGUAUUUGGGUAUACCAAUCCACCAUCGCAAGCUUUCUAACAAAGAAUGGAAGUGCAUUGAAGAUCGAUUUGAGAAAAAACUUAGUUGA
This 417-nucleotide ribosomal RNA is filed under the name Triticum aestivum (bread wheat). RNAcentral describes it as "partial small subunit ribosomal RNA". The record is from RNAcentral. Lineage: Eukaryota; Viridiplantae; Streptophyta; Magnoliopsida; Poales; Poaceae.